Molecule: small RNA, 110 nt
Filed under: uncultured Enterocloster sp.
Lineage: Bacteria; Bacillati; Bacillota; Clostridia; Lachnospirales; Lachnospiraceae
Description: drum RNA
Rfam family: drum RNA
About the family: Firmicutes, Bacteroidetes (1 example), Proteobacteria (2 examples), Spirochaetes (2 examples). Terminator (Clostridia)
Source: RNAcentral
AGCGCUGAAACAUAACAGCGUACCGGAAAGCCUUGUUAUGUGGAGCUUUCGAGAGGGGUUGUGCAGUGAAACCUCAAACCGGAGUAGGCUUCGGCCGAACGAAAAUGCUC